UAGCUAACACGUGUCUGUUGGCGAGUGUUAGCAUGACGCCAUUAUCGUGCUUCAGUGUUUGUCUCAGUUCUGGUUUAAUGUGUUAUUUAAAUCAUUGCACUGACUGCUCACUCAUGAAAAUGAGCAAAACUUUAAUCUUCAUAAGUCUGAAAUAAAACCUGACUCCAGAGAAGUGAUUCAACAAACGGACGUUGUUUAAACACACAGAACAUUUAUAAUAAUAUAGAUGAGGCGAUUUACAUCACAUGAGAUUUGAAUAGUGGGACUAAAUAUAAAACAUUCAUUAUAUAUUUCUUAAUCACUGAUAAUGACACUCAAGAUAACAGUAUAUGUUUCUUACUUGACGUCUAAAGGAAGUGAAAAUGUUCUGAUGUUCAGCGUGCGACAGAUUCACAAUGAUGACCAGACUCUUUGGAUUCUUUAGGUCACUUUCUGCCACAACAGUCUGGUCGGAUCCACUCGACAAAGAGACUUUAAAGCUGUCAGAUACAGAACCUGCUCUGAUAACAAACAUACUUGGGUUUGGAGUCAGAACCGUGUUUCAGUUUGGAGACUUCAGUGAAGUUCUGAUGUUGGUGGUCAGAACCGGAACUGCUUUUUCACAUCAACUUCUAAAAUAUAAUGUGGAAAUAAACUGCAAUUCACCAUCAUUCCACAUGGUGGAGCUGCAACUGACAGCAAAAACAAAUAUCUAGUUAAAUAUGUUGAUCAACAGUUUUGUUUACAGACAGCUGUUGAGGCUCUUUGUGUUGAGAAUAUGUGAGUGAAUAAAAGAAUAAAGCUCCAGGUCCAGGUGCAGGUCCAGAUGGAGGAGGUGUCUGAGUGUGGAGCAGAAGGAGUGGAGGAGUGUCAGUGUGUCUGCAGAGACUGUGUAGAAGGACAGAGCAGCAGCAGAGCAGUCCAGAUACACUGAUGAUACUCUGUCAC
Long non-coding RNA from Acanthopagrus latus (yellowfin seabream), 927 nucleotides. RefSeq lists it as uncharacterized. The record is from RefSeq and is a predicted model, not a curated record. NCBI's taxonomy places the organism in Eukaryota, Metazoa, Chordata, Actinopteri, Spariformes, Sparidae. The transcript is spliced from 3 exons.